RNAcentral lists this ribosomal RNA (494 nucleotides) under uncultured bacterium. Its description in RNAcentral is "partial 16S ribosomal RNA". It matches the Rfam family "Bacterial small subunit ribosomal RNA", at positions 28 to 507 of the family's 1533-position model. The record is from RNAcentral.
GACGGACGCUGGCGGCGUGCUUAACACAUGCAAGUCGAACGGAAAGGCCUGCUUUCCCUUGUGUCUUGCGUGUACUCGGGUGGCGAACGGGUGAGUAACACGUGAGUGAUCUGCCCCCAACUUGGGUAUAAGCCUGGGAAACUGGGUCUAAUUCCCGAUAGGACUGCAGGGUGGUGCCUGUGGUGGAAAACGAUUUUCUAGUGGUUGGGGAUGAGCUCGCGGCCUAUCAGCUUGUUGGUGGGGUAAUGGCCUACCAAGGCGGCGACGGGUAGCCGGCCUGGGGGGGGGGACCGCACAAGUGGGACGGGGGAACGGCCCGGAACCCGAGGGGGGGAAGAAGGGGGGAAAAUGGGCAAAGGGGGGGAAGCUGGACGCGGCGAGCGCGGGGGGGGGAUGCCGGCCUUCGGGUUGUAAACUGCUUUCGACCGGGAGGAAGCCACCUGGUUGGAAGGGUGGUGACGGUAGUGGUAGAAGAAGCACCGGCUAACUACGUG